RNAcentral lists this long non-coding RNA (780 nucleotides) under Sorghum bicolor (sorghum). RNAcentral describes it as "long non-coding RNA (SBIC_LNC012524)". Lineage: Eukaryota; Viridiplantae; Streptophyta; Magnoliopsida; Poales; Poaceae. The record is from RNAcentral.
CAUGCAUUUUAUCAUUCUUACUUAAAAAAAAUAAAUAAAUAUUUAUUAGCAUUUCCCUUUAGCAUAUAUGCUUCAUGUAUGUUUAUAUCCCUCAUGGAAAUUAUGACUAGUUGCUUGUUAAUGUUUCUCUAGUGCCUAGUAUACAACUUAGUAUUUCUCUAAGUAUGGAUCACUUAGCUCACUUAAACUGCCAUGAACCUAAAAACUUUGUGGGUUGCAAGUGCUAGAACUAAGUCUAAGUUGUUGUGGGACAUGAGAUAGUAAGACAAGAGCUACUAUAAUAUUUUUCUAAGCAUGCAUGAUUAUCAGAGAUUUAUUCUUAAAAUGAUCAAAACCUUAAUUGUUCCUCAAUGGUGAUGAAUUCCUACCACAGCCAUAUCUACUUUACAUAAUUGCAACCUUUCCACAUAAGCUAUUUGCUUUGUGUUGAGUGUCGUCAAGUCUUGUUGACCCUUGUUAAGAGACUUUUCAUGCUCCUAAGAUCAAGAUCACGUACACACCACAUAUAUAUAUGCUGCUUCUACACUGGAAGUACGCAACCACAUGUAUUUCGCAUCCACUAAAUAGGUUGCUCCAUACUCUAAAUGAUAGAACAUCUCUCUAAGCAUUAUUUGGUAAAUGAGACAUCAAAAGGCUAGGCAAAAUGAAAUAAAAAGAUGGACAUGUGCAAGUCCACAGAAAACCUCUGAUAUGAAACUUGCUAAGAAUGAGAAAGUUAGUGCUCAAGUCAAACUGUUCUGUCUCUCAACCACCUAAGACAAAGGAAAAGCCAUAAGCCCC